RNAcentral lists this ribosomal RNA (506 nucleotides) under Sporosarcina sp. CL2.40. RNAcentral's name for it is "bacterial SSU rRNA". It matches the Rfam family "Bacterial small subunit ribosomal RNA", at positions 17 to 503 of the family's 1533-position model. The record is from RNAcentral. Lineage: Bacteria; Bacillati; Bacillota; Bacilli; Caryophanales; Caryophanaceae.
CCCUGGCUCAGACGAACGCUGGCGGCGUGCCUAAUACAUGCAAGUCGAGCGGAAUGAUGAAGAAGCUUGCUUCUUCUGAUUUUAGCGGCGGACGGGUGAGUAACACGUGGGCAACCUACCUUGUAGAUUGGGAUAACUCCGGGAAACCGGGGCUAAUACCAAAUAAUCCAUUUUGCUUCAUGGCGAAAUGUUGAAAGGCGGCUUCGGCUGUCACUACGAGAUGGGCCCGCGGCGCAUUAGCUAGUUGGUAGGGUAACGGCCUACCAAGGCGACGAUGCGUAGCCGACCUGAGAGGGUGAUCGGCCACACUGGGACUGAGACACGGCCCAGACUCCUACGGGAGGCAGCAGUAGGGAAUCUUCCACAAUGGACGAAAGUCUGAUGGAGCAACGCCGCGUGAGUGAAGAAGGUUUUCGGAUCGUAAAACUCUGUUGUAAGGGAAGAACACGUACGAGAGUAACUGCUCGUACCUUGACGGUACCUUAUUAGAAAGCCACGGCUAACUA